This 466-nucleotide ribosomal RNA is filed under the name uncultured bacterium. RNAcentral's name for it is "partial 16S ribosomal RNA". It matches the Rfam family "Bacterial small subunit ribosomal RNA", at positions 339 to 795 of the family's 1533-position model. The record is from RNAcentral.
CUACGGGUCGCACCAGUGGGGAAUAUUGGACAAUGGGGGAAACCCUGAUCCAGCAAUGCCGCGUGUGUGAAGAAGGCCUGCGGGUUGUAAAGCACUUUCGGUUGGGAGGACUGCUUCUAGCACUAAUAUUGUUGGAAGUUGACGUUACCUUCAGAAGAAGCACCGGCUAACUCCGUGCCAGCAGCCGCGGUGAAUACGGAGGGUGCAAGCGUUAAUCGGAAUUACUGGGCGUAAAGCGCGCGUAGGCGGCUAGAUCAGUCGGGUGUGAAAGCCCCGGGCUUAACCUGGGAACUGCAUCCGAUACUGUCUAGCUUGAGUAGAGGAGAGGAGAGUGGAAUUCCACAUGUAGCGGUGAAAUGCGUAGAUAUGUGGAGGAACACCAAUGGCGAAGGCAGCUCUCUGGCCUGAUACUGACGCUGAGGUGCGAAAGCGUGGGGAGCAAACAGGAUUAGAUACCCGCGUAGUC